This 642-nucleotide ribosomal RNA is filed under the name Aspergillus niger. Its description in RNAcentral is "eukaryotic LSU rRNA". The stretch from base 213 to 366 matches the Rfam family "5.8S ribosomal RNA". Lineage: Eukaryota; Fungi; Ascomycota; Eurotiomycetes; Eurotiales; Aspergillaceae. The record is from RNAcentral.
UUGGUGAACCAGCGGAGGGAUCAUUACCGAGUGCGGGUCCUUUGGGCCCAACCUCCCAUCCGUGUCUAUUGUACCCUGUUGCUUCGGCGGGCCCGCCGCUUGUCGGCCGCCGGGGGGGCGCCUCUGCCCCCCGGGCCCGUGCCCGCCGGAGACCCCAACACGAACACUGUCUGAAAGCGUGCAGUCUGAGUUGAUUGAAUGCAAUCAGUUAAAACUUUCAACAAUGGAUCUCUUGGUUCCGGCAUCGAUGAAGAACGCAGCGAAAUGCGAUAACUAAUGUGAAUUGCAGAAUUCAGUGAAUCAUCGAGUCUUUGAACGCACAUUGCGCCCCCUGGUAUUCCGGGGGGCAUGCCUGUCCGAGCGUCAUUGCUGCCCUCAAGCCCGGCUUGUGUGUUGGGUCGCCGUCCCCCUCUCCGGGGGGACGGGCCCGAAAGGCAGCGGCGGCACCGCGUCCGAUCCUCGAGCGUAUGGGGCUUUGUCACAUGCUCUGUAGGAUUGGCCGGCGCCUGCCGACGUUUUCCAACCAUUCUUUCCAGGUUGACCUCGGAUCAGGUAGGGAUACCCGCUGAACUUAAGCAUAUCAAUAAGCGGAGGAAAAGAAACCAACCGGGAUUGCCUCAGUAACGGCGAGUGAAAGCGGCA